RNAcentral lists this ribosomal RNA (289 nucleotides) under uncultured bacterium. Its description in RNAcentral is "partial 16S ribosomal RNA". It matches the Rfam family "Bacterial small subunit ribosomal RNA", at positions 773 to 1060 of the family's 1533-position model. The record is from RNAcentral.
GUGGAUUAGAUACCCUAGUAGUCCACGCCCUAAACGAUGUCAACUAGUUGUUCGGUAGGGAGACCUAUUGAGUAACGCAGCUAACGCGUGAAGUUGACCGCCUGGGGAGUACGGUCGCAAGAUUAAAACUCAAAGGAAUUGACGGGGACCCGCACAAGCGGUGGAUGAUGUGGAUUAAUUCGAUGCAACGCGAAGAACCUUACCUACCCUUGACAUGUCAGGAAUCCUGCAGAGAUGCGGGAGUGCCUUCGGGAACCUGAGCACAGGUGCUGCACGGUCGUCGUCAGCU